This 500-nucleotide ribosomal RNA is filed under the name uncultured bacterium. RNAcentral describes it as "partial 16S ribosomal RNA". It matches the Rfam family "Bacterial small subunit ribosomal RNA", at positions 30 to 523 of the family's 1533-position model. The record is from RNAcentral.
AUUGAACGCUGGCGGCAUGCCUUACACAUGCAAGUCGAACGGCAGCACGGGAGCAAUCCUGGUGGCGAGUGGCGAACGGGUGAGUAAAGUAUCGGAACGUGCCCAGUCGUGGGGGAUAACGUAGCGAAAGUUACGCUAAUACCGCAUACGAUCUAUGGAUGAAAGCGGGGGAUCGCAAGACCUCGCGCGAUUGGAGCGGCCGAUGCCUGAUUAGGUAGUUGGUGAGGUAAAGGCUCACCAAGCCGACGAUCAGUAGCAGGUCUGAGAGGAUGAUCUGCCACACCGGAACUGAGACACGGUCCGGACUCCUACGGGAGGCAGCAGUGGGGAAUAUUGGACAAUGGACGAAAGUCUGAUCCAGCGAUGCCGCGUGAGUGAAGAAUGUCUUCGGAUUGUAAAGCUCUUUUGUCAGGGAAGAAAAGUGCUGUAAUAACACUACGGCACAAUGACGGUACCUGAAGAAUAAGGAUCGGCUAACUACGUGCCAGCCGCCGCUGUAA